This 137-nucleotide ribosomal RNA is filed under the name Escherichia coli O157:H- str. H 2687. Its description in RNAcentral is "partial 16S ribosomal RNA". It matches the Rfam family "Bacterial small subunit ribosomal RNA", at positions 1 to 132 of the family's 1533-position model. The record is from RNAcentral. Lineage: Bacteria; Pseudomonadati; Pseudomonadota; Gammaproteobacteria; Enterobacterales; Enterobacteriaceae.
AAAUUGAAGAGUUUGAUCAUGGCUCAGAUUGAACGCUGGCGGCAGGCCUAACCAUGCAAGUCGAACGGUAACAGGAAGAAGCUUGCUUCUUUGCUGACGAGUGGCGGACGGGUGAGUAAUGUCUGGGAAACUGCCUG